UGUGAUCAAAUCAGAAGCGUAAGUGUUUGCUUACCCUGUGUAACCCUGAUCUGGGGUUGCCCAAUGCUGCGGGUCCGUUCAAUGUAGAGCACAGAACCUCUGCAGUGUUAGGGGUGCAUCUGGCAGCUCUGCUUUGCCCCCAAAUCCUAGUGUGUGGUGGUGCAAAGGCACCAGCAGGUAAAUUUGGUCUUACACAGCUUUUCUGUUAUGCUGCUCUUGGACAUCACUGGAGGAACAGCUCAAGCAGAGGAGAUGAGUUUAGUAACACCAAGCUCUUUCUUCAUGCUUUUGCCUAUAUAUGUGGACUAAUCACAUUCUCUGCAGUGCACUUUGUGUCCUGUGCCUUCAGAUUUGUAAUAAAUUGUGGCAUAUGAGCACUAAAUGGCGGUGGAAAUUAGAGCUGGAUGUGUUUUGUUGCAUUAACUAGUUUACCACUAGGCUGGACCUAGGUACUUCACGUACAGGAGAUGGUAUCAUAAGCAGAGGGAGAAUUUAAUUACAAUGAUGAAUUUAAUGCUGUGAUGGGUUUUAGAUGCAGCGGUGCCAUCCACUACUUGCGGUUACUCCAUUGCUUAGCAACCCUGGUGCCAGGCAGCGAGCCCCAAAACGCCGUUCCUCGUCCCUUAAAGCAUGAAUACAUCGAAACCUAAACAUCCUCCCAGGGAAUGCAGGCGGUGGUUCAACAUCAGACUGAUUGCACGAGCUCCUCCUCGGCCAGCAGCUCCUCUAACACCAAGCAGACCCAGGAGCUCCUCAAGGCAUAGCUCUGCUGCCUCGCAGGGCUGUAGAUCACUCAGGUGGGUAGAAAAACUAAUUUUUUUUCUUUGCUUCCUUCUCUCCUAAUUCUCCUUCCACUCAUUUUUACCUAAUCUAAGAGGAAGCCCUCUUGCACUGCAUGUCUUGACUAUGUCAAGGUCUUUGUAGGUGUUAUUUUCUUGUGGGCUCUGUGACUACACCACGCAGAGGUUAUUGACAAGGGUUGUCCAUCACAGCUUCACGACGCCUCACGUUGUGCUCUGUUAGCACAA
Molecule: long non-coding RNA, 1028 nt
Filed under: Anser brachyrhynchus (Pink-footed goose)
Lineage: Eukaryota; Metazoa; Chordata; Aves; Anseriformes; Anatidae
Description: lncRNA (ENSABRG00000020181.1)
Source: RNAcentral